Non-coding RNA from Anas platyrhynchos (mallard), 1254 nucleotides. Lineage: Eukaryota; Metazoa; Chordata; Aves; Anseriformes; Anatidae. The record is from RefSeq and is a predicted model, not a curated record.
GGUGACAGGGUCGGGUCGGUCAGUGGCCGCUCCACCUUUUAGGGGGACAUGGGCACCUGGAAGGUGACCAGGACGUGGUGGCCCUGAAGUGGUUAGAGACACUGACAUUAAGGGAAGGACGAGGGGCGCCAAGACAGCUAUCCAGGGCCUGAGCCCCGGCCGCCAGGUGGAGGGGGCGCGGGGUACAACCACCGCUUCGCUCCCUCAGCUUCGCCUCCGCGGCCUCGAAGGGAAAAAGAAUCCGACCCAGGGCCAACCUACCCCGGGAAGAGCCCUGCACCCGGCAAAGGGCCCGUUCUGGGGUCGGCUACGAGCCUACUUCACCCCUCUGCCUCCCAGAGAGGCUGCAAAAUGGCGGGGCAGCGCCCGCCUGUCCCCGCCGCCUCCUCCCCUCAGCGCCGCCGCUGCGCGGCCCUCCUCGCCUCGGUGCGGGUGUCCCCCAAAAAAUAACCCGUGAACGGCGAGCCGAGAGGGAAGGAGCAGCCUUCCCCUCCUCUUCGGGGAGCCACGAGCGGGUGAAAAGCGAUGAGGAUGCUCCACCUGCCGGGCAGAGCGAGCAGGCGGGCCGGGCGAGGGGGCUGCAAGGCCCCGGGAGUUUUCCUUGCAAACAAAUAAAGGUUUUUUUGGUGCCACGCGUGAUUCUGGCCCCACGGGUGGGGGAGCAGUUCAGGCCCUUCCUGCAGACCGCCUGGUUACCUCUUUUCCCGGUGCAAUCUGUAGCAACUCUGGAAAAGUCAGCGACUUUACACCAGUUGCCCUCAUGCUAGAUGAGAGCAGGGCGCUCCGCUUUGCACCAAGCUAACCCCGGAGCAAGCCGAGCAGAGAUCACAUAAAGACUUCUUCACAUCUACAGAGAUGCAGCCCAGCCCUCCGAGGGAUUGAAAACGCAUUAAAGUGUCAUUCUUCACAUCCUGGAGCAGGGCUGGAAGGGGAAGCUGCUGGGGGACGCCACCAGCCCCGUCAGCUCCGAUUCACGCCACCAGCUCCUGCCCUUGCUGACGGUCUCGCUGCUCGCCUGCACAGAAGUUGCGCUAACAAAAUUGUUUGCCUUUAUUUAUUGAUGUGCAGUAUUACACGGCAGAAAUGCACAGCCCAAGCUCGGAAGAGGCUAGAAGCUGAUACUUGCCUCCGACCAACUGUAGUAGCUAUGGGGUUGGGUUUUAUUCCCUGUCACUAAGGCAGAGGGUGGAUUUAAAGCUACCAAUAAACGCAAGAAAAUAAGCUAGAUGGGAAAGGUGAGGAGGGUAUAGAGUG